Molecule: non-coding RNA, 141 nt
Submitted as: unclassified sequences
Source: Rfam
ACCUGCCAGAAUUGUCGAUACGGAUAUGACAAAACUAAUGUAUAAUAAUAAAUAAUCAAUUAGGUCGACAAAAUAUCCUGUUCUGUUGCAAGAAGAAAGACAAUUCGGUAGAGGCGCUGGUGGUAACACCUACGCAAGGAG